AUACUUACCUGGCAGGGGAGAUACCAUGACCACGAAGGUGGUUCACCCAGGGUGAGGCCCAGCCAUUGCACUGCGGCUGUUCUGAACCCUGCGAAUUCCCCAAAUGUGUGAAUCUCGACUGCAUAAUUUCUGGUAGUGGGGGCCUGCGUUCAUGCUAUCCCCUG
RNAcentral lists this small nuclear RNA (164 nucleotides) under Paramormyrops kingsleyae. Its description in RNAcentral is "U1 spliceosomal RNA (ENSPKIG00000022946.1)". It matches the Rfam family "U1 spliceosomal RNA". Rfam says of the family: U1 is a small nuclear RNA (snRNA) component of the spliceosome (involved in pre-mRNA splicing). Its 5' end forms complementary base pairs with the 5' splice junction, thus defining the 5' donor site of an intron. The record is from RNAcentral. Lineage: Eukaryota; Metazoa; Chordata; Actinopteri; Osteoglossiformes; Mormyridae.